CAAUGGCGUAAACAAAGGGAGGCAAGCGAGUAAUCGUAAGCAAACCCCAAAAAUAACGUCUCAGUUCGGACUGUGGUCUGCAACUCGACCACACGAAGCUGGAAUCGCUAGUAAUCGCGAAUCAGCAUGUCGCGGUGAAUACGUUCCCGGGUCUUGUACACACCGCCCGUCACACCAUGGGAGUCGGUAACACCCGAAGUCGGUGGUCUAACCGCAAGGAGGGAGCUGCCGAAGGCAGGCCCGGUGACUGGGGUGAAGUCGUAACAAGGUAAC
RNAcentral lists this ribosomal RNA (273 nucleotides) under uncultured bacterium. RNAcentral's name for it is "partial 16S ribosomal RNA". It matches the Rfam family "Bacterial small subunit ribosomal RNA", at positions 1228 to 1500 of the family's 1533-position model. The record is from RNAcentral.